This 45-nucleotide non-coding RNA is filed under the name Trichobilharzia regenti. The record is from RNAcentral. Lineage: Eukaryota; Metazoa; Platyhelminthes; Trematoda; Strigeidida; Schistosomatidae.
AUCCACCUGACGAGUCCAAAACAGGACGAAAUGCGCAUCAUAGAU